GGGCCAAUAGCUCAGCUAGGUAGAGCGUCAGGCUUUUAACCUGAUGGUCGGGGGUUCAAAUCCCCCUUGGCCCGCCA
This 77-nucleotide transfer RNA is filed under the name Candidatus Wukongarchaeum yapensis. RNAcentral describes it as "tRNA-Lys". It matches the Rfam family "tRNA". From Rfam's summary of the family: Transfer RNA (tRNA) molecules are approximately 80 nucleotides in length. Their secondary structure includes four short double-helical elements and three loops (D, anti-codon, and T loops). Lineage: Archaea; Promethearchaeati; Candidatus Wukongarchaeota; Candidatus Wukongarchaeia; Candidatus Wukongarchaeales; Candidatus Wukongarchaeaceae. RNAcentral also lists the same sequence under 3 other names. The record is from RNAcentral.